This is a long non-coding RNA of Coregonus clupeaformis (lake whitefish), 1221 nucleotides long. RefSeq lists it as uncharacterized. Lineage: Eukaryota; Metazoa; Chordata; Actinopteri; Salmoniformes; Salmonidae. The record is from RefSeq and is a predicted model, not a curated record. The transcript is spliced from 3 exons.
AAGGGCAGACUAGUGGAGGUGUGUGUUACGUUGGAGUGGAGCGAAGGACAGGCUAGCGGAGGUGUGUGUUACGUCAGAGAGGAGCGAAGGACAGGCUAGCGGAGGUGUGUGUUACGUCAGAGUGGAGCGAAGGGCAGACUAGUGGAGGUGUGUGUUACGUCAGAGUGGAGCGAAGGGCAGACUAGUGGAGGUGUGUGUUACGUUGGAGUGGAGCGAAGGGCAGGCUAGCGGAGGUGUGUGUUACGUCAGAGUGGAGCGAAGGGCAGACUAGUGGAGGUGUGUGUUACGUUGGAGUGGAGCGAAGGACAGGCUAGCGGAGGUGUGUGUUACGUCAGAGAGGAGCGAAGGACAGGCUAGCGGAGGUGUGUGUUAGGUCUGUUUGAGUGGAGCAGGGGGCAGACUAGCGGAGGCCUGUGUUAGGUCUGUUUGAGUGGAGCAGGGGGCAGACUAGCGGAGGCCUGUGUUAGGUCUGUUUGAGUGGAGCAGGGGCAGACUAGCGGAGGCCUGUGUUAGGUCUGUUUGAGUGGAGCAGGGGGCAGACUAGCGGAGGCCUGUGUUAGGUCUGUUUGAGUGGAGCAGGGGGCAGACUAGCGGAGGCCUGUGUUAGGUCUGUUUGAGUGGAGCAGGGGGCAGACUAGCGGAGGCCUGUGUUAGGUCUGUUUGAGUGGAGCGAAGGACAGACUAGCGGAGGCCUGUGUUAGGUCUGUUUGAGUGGAGCAGGGGGCAGACUAGCGGAGGUGUGUGUUAGGUCUGUUUGAGUGGAGCAGGGGGCAGACUAGCGGAGGUGUGUGUUAGGUCUGUUUGAGUGGAGCAGGGGGCAGACUAGCGGAGGCCUGUGUUAGGUCUGUUUGAGUGGAGCAGGGGGCAGACUAGCGGAGGCCUGUGUUGAGGUCUGUUUGAGUGGAGCAGGGGGCAGACUAGCGGAGGCCUGUGUUAGGUCUGUUUGAGUGGAGCAGGGGGCAGACUAGCGGAGGUGUGUGUUAGGUCUGUUUGAGUGGAGCAGGGGGCAGACUAGCGGAGGCCUGUGUUAGGUCUGUUUGAGUGGAGCAGGGGGCAGACUAGCGGAGGCCUGUGUUAGGUCUGUUUGAGUGGAGCAGGGGGCAGGCUAGCGGAGGCCUGUGUUAGGUCUGUUUGAGUGGUGCAGGGGGCAGACUAGCGGAGGCCUGUGUUAGGUCUGUUUGAGUGGUGCAGGGGGCAGGCUAGCGGAGGUGUGUGUUAGGU